AGAGAUUCUGAUGGACUUGGAAUGGGGUGGAGCCUGAAGGCUGGCCUAUUCUAAAGGCUCUUCAGGGAUUUUUAAUAUGCAGCUAGGAUUGAAAAUCACUUACGUAGACAUACAGUUUUUAUGUUUUAACAAAUACUUUUAAGGCAAACAAACUACUGGGAUGAUCUUUGGAUGCACCACAGAACUUUUUCAGAAGCAUUUGGGCGUCCCAAUGAUUUCUACUUCUAAAGAGUGCUAGUGAAUGAGGGAUUUUGAUUGAGGGCUUACUUUGCUGCCUUAGUGUUCUCUCCUAACCAGAAGCCUUUCUGUUUUGGAAUCAUGGAGCACAUCUUUUGUGGGCUGCGAAAAGCUCUAGGUGGAAGGGAAGAGCAUCAGGUGGUGAAGCUGAACCAGGAGAGUCUAAAAACCACGUGGCCUCUCAGGCACCCUUGAGUCUAGAGGGAGUUCCCUGAUCUUACAUUUGAGAGUGAUUCUAGGGG
Molecule: long non-coding RNA, 479 nt
Filed under: Homo sapiens (human)
Lineage: Eukaryota; Metazoa; Chordata; Mammalia; Primates; Hominidae
Description: non-protein coding lnc-ZNF281-3:2
Source: RNAcentral